GCAGCUGCAAGGGCUUGUGGGGGAUGGGGAAGGAAGCCCGGCAGUGCGUUGGGGCGGGGCUUCCGCAGACUCCUAAGAUGCCCAGAGAAGGGGCCUCUUCUGGACCAACCGCGAUCCCACCCACCAGACUCGCUGAGAAAGCGUUGCAGCCCAAAGGAUGUGCUUCAGAAUAAUAAUGGUAAAAAGGAAAAGUGAAGUGCAUAGAGGUACAGAUGAAACGAAACUGACCACAAGAUGAUGGUUCGUGAAACAAGG
Neofelis nebulosa (Clouded leopard) is the source of this 255-nucleotide long non-coding RNA. RefSeq lists it as uncharacterized. The transcript is spliced from 2 exons. NCBI's taxonomy places the organism in Eukaryota, Metazoa, Chordata, Mammalia, Carnivora, Felidae. The record is from RefSeq and is a predicted model, not a curated record.